AGAGUUUGAUCAUGGCUCAGAUUGAACGCUGGCGGCAGGCCUAACACAUGCAAGUCGAACGGUAACAGGAAGCAGCUUGCUGCUUUGCUGACGAGUGGCGGACGGGUGAGUAAUGUCUGGGAAACUGCCUGAUGGAGGGGGAUAACUACUGGAAACGGUGGCUAAUACCGCAUAACGUCGCAAGACCAAAGAGGGGGACCUUCGGGCCUCUUGCCAUCAGAUGUGCCCAGAUGGGAUUAGCUGGUUGGUGAGGUAACGGCUCACCAAGGCGACGAUCCCUAGCUGGUCUGAGAGGAUGACCAGCCACACUGGAACUGAGACACGGUCCAGACUCCUACGGGAGGCAGCAGUGGGGAAUAUUGCACAAUGGGCGCAAGCCUGAUGCAGCCAUGCCGCGUGUAUGAAGAAGGCCUUCGGGUUGUAAAGUACUUUCAGCGGGGAGGAAGGUGUUGUGGUUAAUAACCACAGCAAUUGACGUUACCCGCAGAAGAAGCACCGGCUAACUCCGUGCCAGCAGCCGCGGUAAUACGGAGGGUGCAAGCGUUAAUCGGAAUUACUGGGCGUAAAGCGCACGCAGGCGGUCUGUCAAGUCGGAUGUGAAAUCCCCGGGCUCAACCUGGGAACUGCAUUCGAAACUGGCAGGCUUGAGUCUUGUAGAGGGGGGUAGAAUUCCAGGUGUAGCGGUGAAAUGCGUAGAGAUCUGGAGGAAUACCGGUGGCGAAGGCGGCCCCCUGGACAAAGACUGACGCUCAGGUGCGAAAGCGUGGGGAGCAAACAGGAUUAGAUACCCUGGUAGUCCACGCCGUAAACGAUGUCUACUUGGAGGUUGUGCCCUUGAGGCGUGGCUUCCGGAGCUAACGCGUUAAGUAGACCGCCUGGGGAGUACGGCCGCAAGGUUAAAACUCAAAUGAAUUGACGGGGGCCCGCACAAGCGGUGGAGCAUGUGGUUUAAUUCGAUGCAACGCGAAGAACCUUACCUGGUCUUGACAUCCACAGAACUUUCCAGAGAUGGACUGGUGCCUUCGGGAACUGUGAGACAGGUGCUGCAUGGCUGUCGUCAGCUCGUGUUGUGAAAUGUUGGGUUAAGUCCCGCAACGAGCGCAACCCUUAUCCUUUGUUGCCAGCGGUUAGGCCGGGAACUCAAAGGAGACUGCCAGUGAUAAACUGGAGGAAGGUGGGGAUGACGUCAAGUCAUCAUGGCCCUUACGACCAGGGCUACACACGUGCUACAAUGGCGCAUACAAAGAGAAGCGACCUCGCGAGAGCAAGCGGACCUCAUAAAGUGCGUCGUAGUCCGGAUUGGAGUCUGCAACUCGACUCCAUGAAGUCGGAAUCGCUAGUAAUCGUGGAUCAGAAUGCCACGGUGAAUACGUUCCCGGGCCUUGUACACACCGCCCGUCACACCAUGGGAGUGGGUUGCAAAAGAAGUAGGUAGCUUAACCUUCGGGAGGGCGCUUACCACUUUGUGAUUCAUGACUGGGGUGAAGUCGUAACAAGGUAACCGUAGGGGAACCUGCGGUUGGAUCACCU
RNAcentral lists this ribosomal RNA (1530 nucleotides) under Salmonella enterica subsp. enterica. RNAcentral describes it as "bacterial SSU rRNA". It matches the Rfam family "Bacterial small subunit ribosomal RNA". Lineage: Bacteria; Pseudomonadati; Pseudomonadota; Gammaproteobacteria; Enterobacterales; Enterobacteriaceae. The record is from RNAcentral.